RNAcentral lists this small nuclear RNA (318 nucleotides) under Myotis brandtii (Brandt's bat). RNAcentral's name for it is "7SK RNA". It matches the Rfam family "7SK RNA". From Rfam's summary of the family: 7SK was discovered as an abundant small nuclear RNA in the mid-70s but a possible function has only recently been suggested. Two independent studies have found that 7SK RNA binds the CDK9/cyclin T complex (known as elongation factor P-TEFb). P-TEFb activates transcription by phosphorylating the C-terminal domain of RNA polymerase II. Lineage: Eukaryota; Metazoa; Chordata; Mammalia; Chiroptera; Vespertilionidae. The record is from Rfam by way of RNAcentral.
GGAGGGGCCGAUAAAGCAAAAGGGGUAAGAUACAAAGACAAUAAGAUCUCAAGGGUUGAUUUGACUGAUCUGGCUGGCUAAGUGGGUGUUCCCUUCCUUCCUCACUACUCCAUGUGUGUCCCUUUCGAAACUGGGUGCGAGGUGGAAGAGGAUGACCUUUCCUAUAGAAGAGACUAUUCUUUGGUCAAGGGUACAUGACCCUGCUAGAGUUCCCAAACAAGCUCCCAAGUUCCAUUUGUAAGAGAACGCAGGGUAGUCAAGCUUUGAGACUGUAGACCCAUCCAAAUGAGGCACUGCCUGGAUAGUCCGUCUUUCUUU